UUCACCAGUACAUGCAUGCUUUCAAGUGGAUACAGAACAAUGAAUUGACUUUCUCUACAGAAACUACUGGAGAUAAUAUACCAAUCAAUAUAACAUGACUUGAAAAGAAAACAGACAGUUGGCAUACAACUCUUGUCAAAUGACGUUAUAUCGAAUUGAAACCGACAUAGUUUGGGUUGAAAGUUUCAUAAAAAAGAGCCAUGCAUCACUGGCAAUGUUGCUUCAUUUGCUAAAAGCAACAAAGUUACACCCUUAGCAAGAGUAUAAGCUCACCAGGGAUACAAGCGACUCAUAAGCUGGCCGAAAAAUCUGCAGUCUCCUAGUUCUUUCAGCUUCAGCAGAUGACUCAUUGCCGUGAGAAACAUAGGAAUCCCUGAC
Molecule: long non-coding RNA, 378 nt
Filed under: Linum usitatissimum (flax)
Lineage: Eukaryota; Viridiplantae; Streptophyta; Magnoliopsida; Malpighiales; Linaceae
Description: long non-coding RNA (LUSI_LNC001575)
Source: RNAcentral